GCUGAGGCCAGGAGAGAGACUUCAGGAGGAUCAGAGAUCAUCUUCAGCACAGCAGACAUCACACAGAGAGCUGUGCUACUGAGCUUCCAGGAGAUCAAGAGGAGACUUCCCACAGCAAGAUUUUAAAUACAAUGAAAGAUUCAAUGUUGACGCUGAGGAAGACAACUAAGGUGUACGACGUGCUCUGCCUUAAACCUUCAGCAGCGUUGGAAGGAGUCUAAGGAUGACAUCAUGAUUCUGUGAAAAGCACAGGAACCAGAAGCUAUGGUGGUGAUAACAGCAGUUUCCUAUGAGGUCUGCAGCUUUGGAAAUAGCUGAGACCCAUGUUGACAAACAACAAAACUAACUGGAUGCAGUUUGCCAUGAGAUGAGCUCAAUGGGGAAUGGGAUAUCCGCUAAUACCUUUGUUAAACUCUGUACUUUUACAGUGAUUUAGGGUGAUUUGACGUAUGCUGAGUAUAACAAUGUUGGCAUUGAAACUGUCAGACAUGAGGUAUUCAUAACUGGAAACUUUUCUAGCAUAAAGGUCAAUAAAGGGGGGAAUGUUAGGUUUUGUAUUGUUGAUUGUCAUUUAUGCUUAGAAACAUUUACUCAUAUAUGCUUAGAAGUGUAUAAUCAAUUGUAGAUUGAAAGAAUGUCUCAUCCUAGGAGGUCUGUAACAACUCUGUGUAGCAUGAAGAGGGGAGUGCGUUCACUCCUCUACAGAGUGUGUUCUGGCAUAGAUCACACCCCCUAGGAGAGGUUUUAUCUUUUCUUGAUAUAUGGUAUAGCAAACACAUGUAUAUCUGUUUGAGUGUAAGAGCCUUUUGUUUAGAUGGACCUGUUAGACUCCUGGCACCAGCUUUGGGGAGUCUUCACAGGGUCACAUCUUGACCUCACACACACAGUAUUCUUUGUUCACAUGUAUACCUAUGUAAGAUGUUAUAUGUUAAUGACCCAAUGCAUAUUCAUGUCACCACAAUAAAAGGAGUGCUCUGGGGAGUCUGGCUGAGAGUCUGACGGAGGUCAAGUGGUGGGACGACACUUGGCUCCAGCCAGAUCUCCC
Molecule: long non-coding RNA, 1045 nt
Organism: Astatotilapia calliptera (eastern happy)
Lineage: Eukaryota; Metazoa; Chordata; Actinopteri; Cichliformes; Cichlidae
Source: Ensembl